UACGUAGGGCGCAAGCGUUAUCCGGAAUUAUUGGGCGUAAAGAGCUCGUAGGCGGUUUGUCGCGUCUGCCGUGAAAGUCCGGGGCUCAACUCCGGAUCUGCGGUGGGUACGGGCAGACCAGAGUGAUGUAGGGGAGACUGGAAUUCCUGGUGUAGCGGUGAAAUGCGCAGAUAUCAGGAGGAACACCGAUGGCGAAGGCAGGUCUCUGGGCAUUAACUGACGCUGAGGAGCGAAGGCGUGGGGAGCGAACAGG
RNAcentral lists this ribosomal RNA (253 nucleotides) under uncultured bacterium. RNAcentral's name for it is "partial 16S ribosomal RNA". It matches the Rfam family "Bacterial small subunit ribosomal RNA", at positions 524 to 776 of the family's 1533-position model. The record is from RNAcentral.